CCUACGGGAGGCAGCAGUAGGGAAUAUUGCUCAAUGGGGGAAACCCUGAAGCAGCAACGCCGCGUGGAGGAUGAAGGUUUUCGGAUUGUAAACUCCUUUUGUUAGAGAAGAUAAUGACGGUAUCUAACGAAUAAGCACCGGCUAACUCCGUGCCAGCAGCCGCGGUAAUACGGAGGGUGCAAGCGUUACGCGGAAUCACUGGGCGUAAAGAGGGCGUAGGCGGGAUAGAAAGUCAGAUGUGAAAUCCUAUGGCUUAACCAUAGAACUGCAUUUGAAACUGUUAUUCUAGAGUAUGGGAGAGGUAGGUGGAAUUCUUGGUGUAGGGGUAAAAUCCGUAGAGAUCAAGAGGAAUACUCAUUGCGAAGGCGACCUGCUAGAACAUAUCUGACGCUGAUGCGCGAAAGCGUGGGGAGCAAACAGGAUUAGAUACCCGAGUAGUC
RNAcentral lists this ribosomal RNA (440 nucleotides) under uncultured bacterium. Its description in RNAcentral is "partial 16S ribosomal RNA". It matches the Rfam family "Bacterial small subunit ribosomal RNA", at positions 338 to 795 of the family's 1533-position model. The record is from RNAcentral.